RNAcentral lists this ribosomal RNA (1091 nucleotides) under uncultured Alphaproteobacteria bacterium. RNAcentral describes it as "bacterial SSU rRNA". It matches the Rfam family "Bacterial small subunit ribosomal RNA", at positions 8 to 1145 of the family's 1533-position model. The record is from RNAcentral. Lineage: Bacteria; Pseudomonadati; Pseudomonadota; Alphaproteobacteria.
AGAGUUUGAUCCUGGCUCAGAACGUACGCUGGCGGCACGCCUUAUACAUGCAAGUCGAACGAAGUAGCAAUACUUAGUGGCAGACGGGUGAGUAACAUGUGGGUAUCUUCCCUUUGGUGAGGAAUAACACGAGGAAACUUGUGCUAAUACCUCAUAAGUCUUUACGGAGAAAGCUUUAUGCGCCAAUGGAUGAGCCCGCACUUGAUUAGUUUGUUGGUGGGGUAACGGCCUACCAAGACUUUGAUCAAUAGCUGAUCUGAGAGGAUGAUCAGCCACAUUGGGACUGAGACGCGGCCCAAACUCCUACGGGAGGCAGCAGUAGGGAAUAUUGCACAAUGGAGGAAACUCUGAUGCAGCGAUGCCGCGUGAGUGAAGAAGGCCUUUGGGUUGUAAAGCUCUUUCGUCGGGGAAGAAAAUGACUGUACCCGAAUAAGAAGGUCCGGCUAACUUCGUGCCAGCAGCCGCGGUAAUACGAAGGGACCUAGCGUAGUUCGGAAUUACUGGGCUUAAAGAGUUCGUAGGUGGUUAAAAAAGUUGGUUGUGAAAUCCCGAAGCUUAACUUCGGAACUGCAAUCAAAACUUUUUAGCUAGGGUAUGAUAGAGGAAAGCAGAAUUUCUAGUGUAGAGGUGAAAUUCGUAGAUAUUAGAAAGAAUACCAAUUGCGAAGGCAGCUUUCUGGAUCAUUACUGACGCUGAGGAACGAAAGCAUGGGUAGCGAAGAGGAUUAGAUACCCUCGUAGUCCAUGCCGUAAACGAUGUGUGUUAGACGUUGGAAAUUUAUUUUCAGUGUCGCAGCGAAAGCAGUAAACACACCGCCUGGGGAGUACGACCGCAAGGUUAAAACUCAAAUGAAUUGACGGGGACCCGCACAAGUAGUGGAGCAUGUGGUUUAAUUCGAAGAUACGCGCAGAACCUUACCAACACUUGACAUGUUCGUCGCGGCUCUAAGAGAUUAGAGCUUUCGGUUCGGCCGGACGAAACACAGGUGCUGCAUGGCUGUCGUCAGCUCGUGUCGUGAGAUGUUGGGUUAAGUCCCGCAACGAGCGCAACCCUCACUUUUAGUUGCCAUCAUUUAGUUGGGCACUCUGAAA